GGAUCCGUAGCUCAGUUGGUUAGAGUACUGCCUUGACAUGGCAGGGGUCGGCGAUUCGAGUUCGCCCGGAUCCACCA
RNAcentral lists this transfer RNA (77 nucleotides) under Vibrio halioticoli NBRC 102217. Its description in RNAcentral is "tRNA-Val". Lineage: Bacteria; Pseudomonadati; Pseudomonadota; Gammaproteobacteria; Vibrionales; Vibrionaceae. The record is from RNAcentral. RNAcentral also lists the same sequence under 1 other name.